RNAcentral lists this long non-coding RNA (625 nucleotides) under Parus major (Great Tit). RNAcentral's name for it is "lncRNA (ENSPMJG00000000836.1)". The record is from RNAcentral. Lineage: Eukaryota; Metazoa; Chordata; Aves; Passeriformes; Paridae.
CACCAUCCAGGGUCCAGGAAGGGAAUAUCUAUCUAUUUUCUUCAGGCAGAAUACAGAGUAGGAGCAGAUCUGUAUAAUGGCUUUCCUUCUGCACAGUUCCCCAAGGCUAUUUCUCAGCUGGAAUCAAGGGCAGAUGGCCAGAACAAAGAAAGGAUUUCCAGAUUUGGCCUUACAAACCACUGAAUGAACAACCACUUGAAGUUUAAGUACACAGUUAAAUGUAACUUAGUCAUACUUUAAUGGCCAGAUGAAAGGGGAUUAAAAGUUUGCAAGGGGAAAAAAAGAAGAGCAAAAUGCAGCAAUAAUCUUGAGUUAUCACCUUCAAAGGAUGUUUUCAACAAGAUGUCCGUGUUUAAGGUUGAAUAAUUGGAUAAUGGACUGCAUGAUAUCUGACAGAUUAUUUUCCUUCAGAAAUGCUUUUCUGAUCUGUUGAAGACAUUGAGAGGGAAACACUUUACAGUUCUUCUGAAACAAAGAGUCUGACAUUGUCUGACAUCUUACAGUCACUGAUGGGGAAAGCGAGGACUGAAGGUGGUCAGGAUGGGUGAAAUCUGCUGCCUGGGUCCAGAACUGACAAAUGCACUUUUGGAAAUGGACUAGAAAACACAAAAUGCAAAGGUUCUGC